This is a non-coding RNA of Vigna unguiculata (cowpea), 1073 nucleotides long. Lineage: Eukaryota; Viridiplantae; Streptophyta; Magnoliopsida; Fabales; Fabaceae. The record is from RefSeq and is a predicted model, not a curated record.
ACUCACCUUCUCACCUUCGAUCCCAACUUCUCUCUCCUUCAUAUCCUUCCUCUCCUCUCUUCCUUUUAGCGACUCACAGACUCCCGUUGUACGGACCCGAUUCUAUCUGACUCACACUAACCAUAAUCACCUUCCGAUCCGAUCAUGUCUCGGGCCUGUGCCGCUACAGACUCCGUCGCCUCCGGCGAGAUCAUGCUGUUCGGGGUUCGAGUCGUCGUCGAUUCCAUGAGGAAGAGCGUCAGUAUGAACAACCUCUCACAGUACGAGCAUCCACAUGAUUCUAACAACAGCAGCAACAGUAACAAUAACAAAAAGGAUGUUCUCGCAGCUGCUGAUUAUGCCUCAGCCGAUGACGCUGUUCCUCAUAACACCGGCCGUCAGCGCGAGCGCGAGCGGAAGCGAGGAGUUCCGUGGACGGAGGAAGAACACAAACUGUUUUUGGUUGGAUUGCAGAAGGUAGGGAAAGGUGAUUGGAGAGGAAUCUCCAAAAACUACGUGAAAACGCGAACUCCGACGCAGGUUGCGAGCCAUGCUCAGAAGUACUUCCUCCGAAGAAGCAACCUGAAUCGCCGUCGCCGUAGAUCUAGCCUAUUUGACAUCACCACCGACACUGUCUCUGCAAUUCCAAUGGAGGAAGAACAGGUCCAGAAUCAAGACACCCUGUCUCAUUCGCAACCUGUGUGCCCAGCAGUUCCUGAAACUAACAAAAGUGGAUUUCCUAUGAUGCCAGUUUAUCAAUUUGGGGUUGGUUCUGGGGUGAUUGCAGUCCAAGGUGGAAAACCAUUAGAAGAGCUCACACUAGGACAAGGAAACAUAGAACACAAUGUGCCGAUCAAUCUGGUCCAUUCAAUUCCUGUUGUCGCAGAUCCUAAAGCCUCCACAGUGUCUGAUAUCAUCACCCCAAGUUCUAGCUCUGCUGUUGACCCACCCACACUGUCCUUGGGGCUAUCCUUCUCUUCUGACCAAAGGCAAAAUCAUCAAGACAUUCUGGUUUACAUGCCAUGCCAUGUUUCAGCAAUGGAGAUAGCAUCAUUAGUGUUGCUUAAGGAAGACGACUGUGAUUGUGUCAAGGU